Molecule: ribosomal RNA, 420 nt
Filed under: Vibrio parahaemolyticus
Lineage: Bacteria; Pseudomonadati; Pseudomonadota; Gammaproteobacteria; Vibrionales; Vibrionaceae
Description: partial 23S ribosomal RNA
Rfam family: Bacterial large subunit ribosomal RNA
Source: RNAcentral
UAGUAACUUGCGAUAAGCCCAGAUUAGGUAGUAACAACCAUUUGAGUCUGGGAUUUCCGAAUGGGGAAACCCACUUACAUAAGUAAGUAUCCUUACCUGAAUACAUAGGGUAAGGAGGCGAACCGGGGGAACUGAAACAUCUAAGUACCCCGAGGAAAAGAAAUCAACCGAGAUUCCGAAAGUAGCGGCGAGCGAAAUUGGACUAGCCCUUAAGCUUUACACGCGUUAGACGAACGGUCUGGAAAGUCCGACGAUACAGGGUGAUAGUCCCGUAGUUGACGACGUGUGUUCAGUGAAAUCGAGUAGGGCGGGACACGUGAUAUCCUGUCUGAAUAUGGGGGGACCAUCCUCCAAGGCUAAAUACUACUGACUGACCGAUAGUGAACCAGUACCGUGAGGGAAAGGCGAAAAGAACCCCUG